RNAcentral lists this ribosomal RNA (23 nucleotides) under Cliffortia theodori-friesii. RNAcentral describes it as "partial 26S ribosomal RNA". The record is from RNAcentral. Lineage: Eukaryota; Viridiplantae; Streptophyta; Magnoliopsida; Rosales; Rosaceae.
CGCAACCCCAGGUCAGGCGGGGU